Molecule: ribosomal RNA, 484 nt
Filed under: uncultured bacterium
Lineage: Bacteria
Description: partial 16S ribosomal RNA
Rfam family: Bacterial small subunit ribosomal RNA
Source: RNAcentral
AGUGAACGCUGGCGGCGUGCUUAACACAUGCAAGUCGAACGAGAACGGAUUAUAGCUUGCUAUAAUUGUCAGCUAAGUGGCGCACGGGUGAGUAAUGUAUAGGUAAUAUGCCUCUUACUAAGGGAUAACAAUUGGAAACGAUUGCUAAUACCUUAUAUUCCUUUUUAUCAAAAGAUAAAAAGGGAAAGAUUUAUUGGUAAGAGAUUAGCCUGUAUUGUAUCAGUUAGUUGGUGGGGUAAUGGCCUACCAAGACGAUGACGCAUAACUGGUUUGGGAGGAUGAUCAGUCAAACUGGAACUGAGACACGGUCCAGACUCCUACGGGAGGCAGCAGUGGGGAAUAUUGCACAAUGGACGAAAGUCUGAUGCAGCAACGCCGCGUGGAGGAUGACACAUUUCGGUGCGUAAACUCCUUUUAUAUAAGAAGAUAAUGACGGUAUUAUAUGAAUAAGCACCGGCUAACUCCGUGCCAGCCGCCGCAGUAA